UACGUAGGGUGCAAGCGUUAAUCGGAAUUACUGGGCGUAAAGCGUGCGCAGGCGGUUCGUUAAGACAGAUGUGAAAUCCCAGGGCUUAACCUUGGAACUGCAUUUGUGACUGCAUAGCUAGAGUACGGUAGAGGGGGAUGGAAUUCCGCGUGUAGCAGUGAAAUGCGUAGAUAUGCGGAGGAACACCGAUGGCGAAGGCAAUCCCCUGGACCUGUACUGACGCUCAUGCACGAAAGCGUGGGGAGCAAACAGG
Molecule: ribosomal RNA, 253 nt
Filed under: uncultured bacterium
Lineage: Bacteria
Description: partial 16S ribosomal RNA
Rfam family: Bacterial small subunit ribosomal RNA
Source: RNAcentral